GUGAGAUUUUAGUUUGUUGAGGGCCUGUUGUUGAUGGACAGUAAUAUUGGCCUCCCCUACAGGACGUCGAGGUCGGAGGUCACGGAAGGAGCGGAGGUCCUGAUCGAUGAGCUGGCGUAUAGGCUUCGAGACGGACUUCAAGGCUGGUUCCCAGAUAGACGGCGUAGUAAAAGGUAACACCGCCUGACCAGGUGGUGGAGUGGUCAGCGCCGGCGAGGAGGACGACGGACAGAGUCGCUUCCGGGUCGCGGCACUUGCGAGGGAGAGACGGUUGGGUCUAGGGGCUGAGGAAGCGGUAAUGGUGACUGGGGGCUCCGGGUCCGGCGUGGGAGAUCCAAGGCUCGUCUCCAGGACGCCAGGAGGGUCAAUGACUGCCGAGGUGGUCCGCACCGGUGGGACGACCGGAGGAGGACGUGGCCUGGUCACUGGUGCCAUAGUGGACUGUGGUCGUCUGGGAAGCGGUGGAAAGGCCCCAAGGUCCGAGAGGAGCAGCGGAGUGGCAGGCGGUGGCGGAUCCGGGGCCGACAGCAGCAGCCGUAGUGCGGAGAUGGAAGACGGAGUAAGGGGUCUGCCAUAGCGCUGGUGGGCCCACCGGAGGGCUCUGUCGAGGGCCUCAUUGUUAAAUGGCCCCAGGUUAGUACGGAUCUUUGCUAUAGUGUAUGUAUAAUGUUGUAUUAAGGUCUUUACAUUUAUAAUCAUGUCCUCCAUUGUGUUCUCUUUAAUUUUGUUUAAGACCAGAUCGUCAGGGGCCGCCGGUUUAAUGAAUGCUCUAAGUUGAGCUUCUUUCCUAGCCAUCCCUAAUGGUGGGAUGCCUGUUCUAAUGGAUUCUUCUAGAAUUUCUGUAUGAUGAAUUGAUUGUAAUAUUUGAAAAUAAUGUUUGAUUAAUUUCGGGUCUAGAUCGGUUGAAGGACUCGUCCCGACCGGAGUCAAUUUUACGUGUUUCUGUCGGUCUGUAAGGUGAUUGGGCCUACCCAAUAGGCUAAACCUAUUUCUAAAAUCAUUAGCCAUUUCGUUAGAAGAUAAAAUGGAAUGAAAAUAAAAAAGGCCUAGGACUAUUUGCAAAAAAAGGAGGGGGUUUGGGAGUUGGAGUUUUUAAAAAAGAACCAACGUAGAGAAAAGAAGGAAAAGAUAAAAGAGAGAUGUAAAAUCAACUAAAAUAGAAUAAGGUUAAAACCGUAGCUUGCAAAAGAUGGCGAUUAAAACAAUAGAUGCAGUUAUAACCAUAAGAUAAACAAAGAAUGUAAAAUAAUAAUAAUGUCAUAACCGGUCAGCUGGUGCAAUGUCUUUUAGCUAGGAGGCAUGGUUAGCUUAGCAAGAAUAAAAUCGAUUUCCCCAAUCGGUUCCGUCGAGUAGUCUUUAGCUGGGAGGUAGGCUGUGCUUGGUUUAGGUGACAGGAUGUCGUUGAUCCGCCCGAUGGGGUUGUAGAAUAUCCCAAAAACUGAUUACAGUCCAAAGUUAAAAAAAGCUGAACACGUAGAUGUCUCUGUACUCACCAGCCAAAAAAGCAUUUGAAGGAGAUUUGAUUAAAACCAAAGGGAAUGAGGUAAUUUCCACAGGUGUUAAAAAAGUAUAAAGUUUAAUCGCUCCAAAAUGCAGGUUGACCAAGUAAAAACAGACUUUGUUUAAAAGUAAGUUAAAGCAAACAAAGUAAAAUAAUUAAAAUAAAGUACAUCCAAAUUAAAAACUCCAAAGUUGCUAAAACAACAGUUCACCAGAAUAACUGACUUUACAUCCACAGAAAUAGAGAGCGUUCCUAACGUUUCACCCAGUUAGGCUUUGUCAGAUGAAGGGUUAGGGUUAGGGUUAGGGUAAGGGCUACUUACCACUUUUGAAAAACG
Molecule: long non-coding RNA, 1838 nt
Organism: Gadus morhua (Atlantic cod)
Lineage: Eukaryota; Metazoa; Chordata; Actinopteri; Gadiformes; Gadidae
Source: Ensembl